Molecule: ribosomal RNA, 256 nt
Filed under: uncultured bacterium
Lineage: Bacteria
Description: partial 16S ribosomal RNA
Rfam family: Bacterial small subunit ribosomal RNA
Source: RNAcentral
GACGAACCGUGCGAACGUUGUUCGGAAUCACUGGGUUUAAAGGGCGCGUAGGCGGGCUGUCAAGUCGGUGGUGAAAUCGUUCCGCUCAACGGGACAAUGGCCUUCGAUACUGGCGGUCUGGAGGGAGGUAGGGGCAUGCGGAACUUCCGGUGGAGCGGUGAAAUGCGUUGAUCUACAGAGGAACACCAAAAAGGGCGAAGGCAGUCAACUAUUCUGAUCCUGACAUUGAGGCAUGAAAGCGUGGGGAGCAAACCGG